GAAACUAUAAGCAUCUAUUUGAUAUUGAUAGUACAGAAAGAUGUCAGCUGAGUUUAAUAUUAAGAUAAUAUUAAUAUUAAGAUAUAUUGAAUAAAUCAACACUGGACUAUCAAGCUUCCAAAUGCAAAGACUUGGACCUUUAUGUAGGGAACAUGGUACUCUGGCUCCUGAUGAAUUCUUCUUCCAGAGAAAUGGUAAUUUGAAGGGUCAUUUUGUUGGAAAAAAAAAAACAGAUAAGGCAUGUGUUAUGAAGAUAUUGCACAAAGUUAUAUCAAGACUAGGAAAGUAAACAUCAAAAUGAUACUAAAUCAUAACUGCACUUGUUCCCAUUUCUAUAAUGGUAGAAACUAUGCUCAACCUUAAACAGAAGAAAAACAAGCAGAGAAAUACUGCUCUAAGUGAAACACAAUAGUUUUUUUAUUAUCUAUUGAUCACAUUUUGACCUCAUUGCUCUCUGGCACAAUCAUUAGUUUCAGUGAGCUACAUCAGUACAAAGAAAGUUUAAACUAUACCUUGUAUUGUUCUGUGAAUACUAGGAUAAAACAUUCAACACAGAAAUAUCUUAUUUUACUUAACUUUUUUUUCUUUUUUUUUUUAAUAUAUAUACUGAAAGAAUACUUGCUUCAUAUAUCACAUCAUAUAAAAGAGAUAUUUUAAACACUUUUAUGUUCAUUUAUAUAUUUCAGAUGUAUUGGGAACCUCUUUAUGUUUCAUUUUAGGUUUAUACUUAAGACCUUAUGAAUGAUCAUUGGUCUCCUGUUCUAUAAGAAGAUGUGGAAUGAUAAAAGAGUAUAUCAUGAUAUUUCAUCUCUGUGGUCUUUACCAUUUCUUACCACCCACAAGGACCGAGGCUACUUUCAGAGCUCCAGCAAUAUCACCUCCAGGUCAUUUGAGCAUUACAGAACUAUAAAAUCACGAGUGAAACUGAGUGAAACUGAGAAGGCAGAGAGGAAACUGAUGGCUGUUUCUCAUAAUUCAAGAAUUAAGAGGACUUGGAAGAAAAGCUACAGACCAAAUAAACAAAUGAGGGUACACAGCUGA
This 1041-nucleotide long non-coding RNA is filed under the name Anas platyrhynchos platyrhynchos (common mallard). RNAcentral describes it as "lncRNA (ENSAPLG00000026951.1)". The record is from RNAcentral. Lineage: Eukaryota; Metazoa; Chordata; Aves; Anseriformes; Anatidae.